CGCAGCAUACAGCGUCCAGUGCACUGGAGGUAGGUUAAACUGCUUCAUCCUCACUCUUCCAUUUCUUUCAUUCAUUCAUCUCGAGUUUUAUUCGUAACUAUACUUCCUCUAAGAGUUGAGCAGAAACAAACGAUAUUAGUCUAUCAGAUCAUCAUUAAUAGGCUUAUUCCAAGCACCUUUUUUCUACCCUUUGUAUGGUUGGAGGAAGGUAUUGAGAAUGGGUAGAAAUAAAGGAAGAGUCGGG
This 244-nucleotide unclassified non-coding RNA is filed under the name Hevea brasiliensis (rubber tree). The record is from RNAcentral. Lineage: Eukaryota; Viridiplantae; Streptophyta; Magnoliopsida; Malpighiales; Euphorbiaceae.